GACGGAUCAGCAGCCAGGCUUGCCUGGUUCACAGAUUAGAUGAUGACGGUCCCCGGUCUGGGGAUUGAGGUAUAAUCGGUCCCCAUCUGCCCCUGCAGAUGGUGAAGGGACGUUCCGUAGGUGAACCUGCGGAAGGAUCAUUA
RNAcentral lists this ribosomal RNA (143 nucleotides) under Dermatocarpon luridum. RNAcentral describes it as "partial 18S ribosomal RNA". The record is from RNAcentral. Lineage: Eukaryota; Fungi; Ascomycota; Eurotiomycetes; Verrucariales; Verrucariaceae.